GACGAACGCUGGCGGCGUGCCUAAUACAUGCAAGUCGAACGGCGCGGCGGACGGGUGAGUAAUACCUUGGAAUCUGCCUGGUAGUGGGCGAUAACGUUCGGAAACGGACGCUAAUACCGCAUACUAUCAGAUGAGUUUAGGUCGGAUUAGCUAGUUGGUGAGGUAAUGGCUCACCAAGGCUACGAUCCGUAACUGGUCUGAGAGGAUGAUCAGUCACACUGGAACUGAGACACGGUCCAGACUCCUACGGGAGGCAGCAGUGGGGAAUAUUGGACAAUGGGCGAAAGCCUGAUCCAGCCAGGCCGCGUGUGUGAAGAAGGUCUUCGGAUUGUAAAACACUUUGAGUAGGGAGGCGGUACCGACAGAGAAAGCACCGGCUAACUAUGUGCCAGCAGCCGCGGUAAUAC
RNAcentral lists this ribosomal RNA (407 nucleotides) under uncultured bacterium. Its description in RNAcentral is "partial 16S ribosomal RNA". It matches the Rfam family "Bacterial small subunit ribosomal RNA", at positions 28 to 526 of the family's 1533-position model. The record is from RNAcentral.